UGACUCUGCGAGAAGUCCAUUGAACCUUAUCAUUUAGAGGAAGGAGAAGUCGUAACAGGGUUUCCGUNGGUGAACCUGCGGAGGGAUCAUUG
RNAcentral lists this ribosomal RNA (92 nucleotides) under Liparis nervosa. RNAcentral's name for it is "partial 18S ribosomal RNA". It matches the Rfam family "Eukaryotic small subunit ribosomal RNA", at positions 1740 to 1831 of the family's 1831-position model. The record is from RNAcentral. Lineage: Eukaryota; Viridiplantae; Streptophyta; Magnoliopsida; Asparagales; Orchidaceae.